Molecule: ribosomal RNA, 396 nt
Filed under: uncultured bacterium
Lineage: Bacteria
Description: bacterial SSU rRNA
Rfam family: Bacterial small subunit ribosomal RNA
Source: RNAcentral
GAUGAACGCUGGCGGCGUGCCUAAUACAUGCAAGUCGAACGCAUUGUGGUUGAAAUGAUAUGAAGAACUUGUUCAGAUUUGAUUUUCAACAUUGCAAUGAGUGGCGAACGGGUGAGUAACACGUGGGAAACCUACCUCUUAGCAGGGGAUAACAUUUGGAACCAAAUGCUAAUACCGUAUAAUAAUUAAAACCGCAUGGUUUUAGUUUAAAAGAUGGUCUUGCUAUCACUAAGAGAUGGUCCCGCGGUGUAUUAGUUAGUUGGUGAGGUAAUGGCUCACCAAGACAAUGAUACAUAGCCGAGUUGAGAGACUGACCGGCCACAUGGGACUGAGACACGGCCCAUACUCCUACGGGAGCAGCAGUAGGGAAUCUUCCACAAUGGACGAAAGUCUGAU